RNAcentral lists this transfer RNA (72 nucleotides) under Bucco capensis (collared puffbird). RNAcentral describes it as "tRNA-Lys". Lineage: Eukaryota; Metazoa; Chordata; Aves; Piciformes; Bucconidae. The record is from RNAcentral.
CAUUGAGAAGCUAUGUACCAGCACUAGCCUUUUAAGCUAGAGAAAGAGGACGCACAACACCCUCCUCAAUGA